GAUGAACGCUAGCGGCAGGCUUAACACAUGCAAGUCGAGGGGCAUCGCGGGGUAGCAAUACUCUGGCGGCGACCGGCGAAAGGGUGAGUAACGCGUGAGCAACAUGCCCGGUACUGGGGGAUAGUCAUUGGAAACGAUGCGUAAUACCCCGUAACACAUGAGGUGGCAUCGCCUUAUGUUGAGAGAUUUAUCGAUACCGGAUUGGCUCGCGUACCAUUAGCUAGUUGGCGGGGUAACGGCCCACCAAGGCGACGAUGGUUAGGGGUUCUGAGAGGAAGGUCCCCCACAUUGGAACUGAGACACGGUCCAGACUCC
This 315-nucleotide ribosomal RNA is filed under the name uncultured Bacteroidales bacterium. RNAcentral's name for it is "bacterial SSU rRNA". It matches the Rfam family "Bacterial small subunit ribosomal RNA", at positions 28 to 339 of the family's 1533-position model. The record is from RNAcentral. Lineage: Bacteria; Pseudomonadati; Bacteroidota; Bacteroidia; Bacteroidales.